This is a long non-coding RNA of Oreochromis niloticus (Nile tilapia), 1165 nucleotides long. RefSeq lists it as uncharacterized. The transcript is spliced from 4 exons. NCBI's taxonomy places the organism in Eukaryota, Metazoa, Chordata, Actinopteri, Cichliformes, Cichlidae. The record is from RefSeq and is a predicted model, not a curated record.
ACACCUGUAUUGACAAUACUAUAUUGUAUUCAUACAGAAUCAGUUUGGUAUCAUUGUCUGUCUGUUCACUGAUUGCUGAAACUAAGAGCUACUUUGAUCUGUUUAGAUCUAAAGUAUCCAAAGUUGAGCUCUAAUGUUUCUUCACCCUUGUGUGUGUGAUAUGUGAUUUCCUACAUGCUGGCAGAGCAGAGCGGCUGUUUGUGCUCACAGAUGGUGACGGUGUGGAGAGACGGUGGUGUUUCCUCAGAAGAACUAGCAGAGUCACCAAGGGCACGAGUCCUUCUCACCACCUUGACUUGCUGACUGAUGCUCAUCUGCACUGCACAGAGGAAAUCAACUAACCGAGGAGUGUUUCUGAGUGAGGGAGAGAGGAGUCAUCAUCCAGGUAAAGUGACGUGGAUCAGUGGAUACACUUGUCUCCCCUUUAAAGGAGAUACUCUUAGAGAGAGACGAUCCGAGUCAUCCUUAAAUAUGGGCAGGAUAUCAGUCUUGGACUGUCUAACCUGCCGGAGCAGCACUGAAUGAUCACCACACAUGAGCAUGUUCCUGCAACAUUCAGCAUCUGAUCUGCCAUCUGUGUGCUUCUGCUUUUGUGUCAAAUGUCAACCAGCUGGAGAGGAAACUACACCAGUGUACUGGGAUGUUUCAGCAACACCUGCCAGAUGCUGUUCCUUCAUGGUGACAUCACCAGAGACAGCCCCGCCCACCUCAGGACCUCGCCAUUGAUCAUGAUGAUUAUAAUGAUGACAGCGAGCGGAACUAAGACUGUAAAAAUCCACGACCAGAAUGUUUAGAUGCUUUCUAAUUAUUAAUGAAUACUGAGAGCCUCUUUCUGUGUUUUGUCUGUUUUGGGUUUUUUUUACCUCAUUUGUUACUAACAAAGUUCAACAAACUCACACAGUUUACAUUCUGUAUGUUUCCAUCUUUACCAGCCACACUCUUAACUGCAAUUAAGAAAACAAACCGUAGAAAUCGUUGCUUUUCUCUUUUGUAAUUGAUGAUAAUUCAGUGAAUAUACUGCGCUGCUUCCUUUUGUUUCGUCUCACAUUGCUUUAAGUUUUUCAGUGUUCAGUUAUUUUUUACUGCUGUUUGAAUUCUCUGUAUGUUUGACCCUGUAGACUGUUUAAUGGACUGCUUGUCUUCCUGUUUGUAACCGCCGCCUGUU